GGUGGCCCAGUGGUAGAGUACUUGCCUUGCAUGCAUGAGGCCCUGGGUUCGAUUCCUCAGCACCA
Molecule: transfer RNA, 65 nt
Filed under: Dipodomys ordii (Ord's kangaroo rat)
Lineage: Eukaryota; Metazoa; Chordata; Mammalia; Rodentia; Heteromyidae
Rfam family: tRNA
About the family: Transfer RNA (tRNA) molecules are approximately 80 nucleotides in length.
Source: Rfam by way of RNAcentral